Molecule: ribosomal RNA, 474 nt
Filed under: uncultured Pelotomaculum sp.
Lineage: Bacteria; Bacillati; Bacillota; Clostridia; Eubacteriales; Desulfotomaculaceae
Description: bacterial SSU rRNA
Rfam family: Bacterial small subunit ribosomal RNA
Source: RNAcentral
UUGACGGGGACCCGCACAAGCGGUGGAGGAUGUGGUUUAAUUCGACGCAACGCGAAGAACCUUACCUAGGCUUGACAUGCUGGUGAAAACCAUGGAAACAUGGUCCUCCCGUAAGGGACAUCAGUACAGGUGGUGCAUGGCUGUCGUCAGCUCGUGUCGUGAGAUGUUGGGUUAAGUCCCGCAACGAGCGCAACCCUUAUUCUUAGUUGCUAACGCGUGAAGGCGAGCACUCUAGACGAACUGCCGUUGACAAAACGGAGGAAGGUGGGAUGACGUCAAAUCAUCAUGCCCCUUAUGUUCUGGGCUACACACGUGCUACAAUGGCCGGUACAGACGGACGCAAAGCCGCGAGGUGGAGCAAAUCCUAAAAAGCCGGUCUCAGUUCGGAUUGCAGGCUGCAAUUCGCCUGCAUGAAGUCGGAAUCGCUAGUAAUCGCAGGUCAGCAUACUGCGGUCGAAUACGUUCCCGGGCCUU